UCGUUGUAGCAAUACGAUGGAAAAUUUAGUGGCGAACGGGUGCUUAACACGUGGGCAACCUGCCAAGAAGUGGGGGAUAGCUCGCCGAAAGGCGAAUUAAUACCGCAUGUGAUUAGAGAGGACAUCCUUUCAAAAUUAAAGUCGGGGCAACCUGACGCUUUUUGUGGGGCCCGCGGCCUAUCAGCUAGUUGGUGAGGUAACGGCUCACCAAGGCUUUGACGGGUAGCUGGUCUGAGAGGACGACCAGCCACACUGGGACUGAGACACGGCCCAGACACCUACGGGUGGCAGCAGUCGAGAAUUUUUGACAAUGGGGGAAACCCUGAUCGAGCGACGCCGCGUGGAGGAUGAAGGUCUUCGGAUUGUAAACUCCUGUCAUUGGGGAACAAGGUGCAUACGUUAACUGCGUGUGCAUUGAUAGUACCCGAAGAGGAAGAGACGGCUAACUCUGUGCCAGCAGCCGCGGUAAUACAGAGGUCUCAAGCGUUGUUCGGAUUCAUUGGGCGUAAAGGGUGCGUAGGCGGCGCGGUAAGUCGGGUGUGAAAUCUCGGAGCUUAACUCCGAAACUGCAUUCGAUACUGCCGUGCUUGAGGACUGGAGAGGAGACUGGAAUUCACGGUGUAGCA
RNAcentral lists this ribosomal RNA (626 nucleotides) under uncultured Verrucomicrobiota bacterium. RNAcentral describes it as "bacterial SSU rRNA". It matches the Rfam family "Bacterial small subunit ribosomal RNA", at positions 71 to 680 of the family's 1533-position model. The record is from RNAcentral. Lineage: Bacteria; Pseudomonadati; Verrucomicrobiota.